Molecule: unclassified non-coding RNA, 362 nt
Filed under: uncultured bacterium
Lineage: Bacteria
Description: contains 16S-23S intergenic spacer region
Source: RNAcentral
UCCCCAUUGAAUGAGGCAGUCUCCCGUGAAAUACAACACAGGAUGAGGGUUUCGCUCGUUUGCCCACUUAAGGGUACACUUCACAGCACGAGCUGACGACGACCGUGCAUCAUCUGUCAUCUGGCUCCCGAGGGCACCCCCGUAUUUCUACAGGGUUCCAGAGAUGUCAAGGCCUGGUAAGGUUCCUCGUUCAGCAUCGAAUUAAACCUCAUGAUCCACCGCUUGUGCGAGCCCCCGUCAAUUCCUUUGAGUUUUAGUCUUGCGACCGUACUUCCCAGGCGGCAAACUUCACGCGUUAGCUUCGCUACACAGAGGGUCGAUACUCCGAAUAGCUAGUUUGCAUCGUUUACGGCGUGGACUAC